This is an RNA transcript of Pleuronectes platessa (European plaice), 4918 nucleotides long. It is a transcript of the gene named NACHT, LRR and PYD domains-containing protein 12, with no coding region annotated. NCBI's taxonomy places the organism in Eukaryota, Metazoa, Chordata, Actinopteri, Pleuronectiformes, Pleuronectidae. The transcript is spliced from 10 exons. The record is from RefSeq and is a predicted model, not a curated record.
UGAAACCUGAACAAUUUGGGAAUGUUCACUAAAAGUUAGAGUUUUAGUAUUUGUUGAUUUCAUUUGUAUUAGUCUGAUGAUUUAUUAGAUAUUAAAAAGUGAAAACAUAAUCACAAGAGUUUAGAACAGAAUGGCUGAUCACAUGUGGUUUCUCUGCUCGAUGUUGAUUUGAGACGUUUGUGGUUUGUCUCUGUGAAGCUGUCUCUUCUGCUUUGGUCAAGUUUUCUGUGAAAUAGAAUUUACACUCACAUCAGUUUUAGUGGAAUUCCAGUUCAUUCAGUUUAGACUUGAUGGGAAAACCAGUUUGUCUGCAGCCAGGUACUCUGGCUCUUUGCUGACACCAUGUGGUCAAACACUGGUACUGUUUCCACUUGGAUCAUUUUAUACAUCGAACACUCGUCUAGUCAGAGAAAAGAAGGGGAUGCAAAUCUCAGCAGUUAUUGAAAUACACAACGGUCAAAUGAUGAUCACAAUGCAGCUGUAUUUCUGUAGAUCUAUAAACCAACACUCUGACUGGACGUGUUUGACUCCAGAGUUUCUGAGGCUCAUUUAAACAUCAUGAUGAAUCUCAUUGGACGGCUCAGUCCCAGUAGACGCUCCCAGUCAGGACUCAGAGUGAAAGUGAAGAUCUGGAUUCAGGAUCCCACACCAUCCAUUAUUAACUGAAUACAUGAUCCUCAGUUUGUUAUCUACAUCAUAACAUCACAAUAAAACAUGAACUGUGAACCAGUUCAUCUUCAUGGGUAUGAACUGGGCUUUGAACUGGGUGGUUUCAAGAGUGAACUGGUUCAACAGGGAGGAGAGAAUGAGAACAGGGAGCGGUCAGACUCCAUUUUCACCUGGACGAGCAGAAGGAAGGAAAGUGAGCAGAUAAACAUUGAAACUGGUGUGAAAGAUCAUUUCACUGUGUUCUGCUGUAAACUGAGCGUAGAACCAGAGGAAAUAGACCAGACCUUGAAUAUCUAGAAGAGCAGCGUGGACUGAACCACAACUGAGCCGCAGCCGGUGCAACAUGGACGAGGACACUUCAGAGCAAGUUGGACCCUCAACCACAAAAGGUCAGGACCACAGACUGAGAGCAGAGUCUCCAGGGUCCAGCUGUCUGUCUCUGAAGAGUGACUGGUCCAAAGCAGAGCCUCUAAACUUCAGUAAUGAACCUGGACCCUCACACACAGAGGAGAGGAAGAGGAGUCAUGUUUCUGAGGAGGAGCAGUCGUCCUGCUGUGCUUCGUGUCAGGACGUCCUGAAGGAUCCAGUCUCCACCAGCUGUGGACACUGGUUCUGCAGACAGUGCAUCACCUCAUACUGGGACCAGUCUGGUUCUUCAGGACACUCCUCCUGUCCCCAGUGUGGAAAAAGAUCCAGAACAGGAGCUGGAGCAGAUCGUGGUCUGCAGGAGGUUUCAGAUGAACAUAAGCUCAGUCUGAGGAGGAGAUGUGAUCAUGUGACUGAAGGAAGUGAUGAAACAGGAAGUAGAACCCUCCUCAACAGGAUCUACACUGAGCUCCACAUCACAGAGGGACAGAGUGAAGAGGUUAAUACUCAACAUGAGGUGAGGCAGCUUGAGACGGCUUCCAAGAAGAAGAUCCUCCAGGACACUCCCAUCAAGGUCCACGACAUCUUUAAAGCCUCCACUGACCAGCAGAGCAGCAUCAGAGUCGUCCUGACCAACGGAGUCGCUGGCGUUGGAAAAACCUUCUCGGUGCAGAAGUUCACUCUGGACUGGGCAGAGGGUUUAGAGAACCAGGAUGUGGGUCUGCUGGCUGUGCUUUCGUUCAGGGAGCUGAACCUGGUGAAGGACCAGCAGCACAGUCUUCUCACGCUGCUCCAUGUUUUCCAUCCAGCGUUACAGAAGCUCACGGCAGAGACGCUCGCUGUCUGUAAACCUUUGUUCAUCUUUGACGGCCUGGAUGAAAGCAGACCUUCUCUGGACUUCAACCACAGGGAGCUUGUGUCUGAGGUCACACAGAGGUCAUCAGUCAACGUGCUGCUGACAAACCUCAUCCGGGGGAAUCUGCUUCCCUCGGCUCUCGUCUGGAUAACCUCAAGACCUGCGGCGGCCAAUCAGAUCCCUCCUACAUGUGUUGACAGGGUCACAGAAGUACGAGGCUUCACUGACGCCCAGAAGGAGGAGUACUUCAGGAGGAGGUUCAGUGAUGAAGAGCUGUGCAGCAGAAUCAUCUCACACAUCAAGACGUCCAGGAGCCUCCACAUCAUGUGUCAAAUCCCAGUCUUCUGCUGGAUCAGUGCCACAGUUCUGGAGCACAUGUUGACCACAGACCAGAGAGGAGAGCUGCCCAAGACCCUGACGGACCUGUACUCACACUUCCUGCUGGUUCAGACAAAGAGGAAGAACAACAAGUACGGUGAGGAACAUGAGACGACUCCACAGCAGCUGACGGAGGCUGACAGGGACGUUCUCCUGAAGCUGGGGAGGCUGGCACUUAAACAUCUGGAGGAAGGAAACAUCAUGUUCUACCAAGAAGACCUGGAGCGGUGUGGUCUUAAUGUCACAGAGGCCUCGGUGUACUCAGGAGUUUGUACUGAGAUCUUCAGAAGAGAGUGUGUGAUCUUCCAGAAAUCAGUCUACUGCUUUGUUCAUCUGAGCAUUCAGGAGUUUCUGGCUGCAGUCUACAUGUUCCACUGUUACACCGAGAAGAACACAGAAGAACUCAACAACUUCUUGAGAACAUAUGUGGACACAGACAGUACCUUCUCCCUGGAUGACCUCCUAAAGAGAACCAUGGAGAAAUCCCUCACCAGUACAAAUGGUCAUCUGGACCUGUUUGUUCGCUUCCUUCACGGCCUCAGUCUGGAGUCCAACCAGAGAGUCUUAGGAGGCCUGCUGGGUCGGACAGGGAACAAUCCAGAGAUCAUCCAGAGAGUCAUCAACAACCUGAAGGAGAUGGAGAGUCGUGGCAUUUCUCCUGACAGAAGCAUCAACAUCUUCCACUGUCUGACUGAGAUGAACGACCACUCAGUUCAUCAGCAGAUGAAACAGUUCCUGACGUCAGAGAACAGAUCAGAGGAGAAACUCUCUGAGAUCCACUGCUCAGCUCUGGCCUACAUGCUGCAGAUGUCAGAGGAGGUUCUGGAUGAGUUGGACCUGAGGGAGUUCAACACAUCAGACCAGGGUCGACUGAGACUGAUCCCAGCUGUGAGGAACUGCAAGAAGGCUGUACUCGGUGGUUGUCGACUCUUAGAGACUCACUGGGAAGUCGUGGCCUCAGCUCUGAAGUCAGACCCCUCACAUCUGAGAGAACUGGUUCUGAGAGGAGACUCUCUGAAGGAUCCAGAAGUGAAGCUGAUGUGUUCUGGACUGGAGAAUCCAAACUGUCGACUGGAGACUCUGAGGUUCGAGCACUGCAGUCUGACAGAGAUCAGCUGUUCUUCUCUGGCUUCAGCUCUGAGGUCAAACCCCUCUCAUCUGAGAGAACUGGAUCUGAGUAACAACAACGACCUGCAGGACUCAGGAGUGAAGGAGCUGUGUGGUUUUCUACAGAGUCCAACCUGUCGACUGGAGACUCUGAGAUUGUUUCGCUGCAGUCUGACAGAGAUCAGCUGUUCUUCUCUGGCUUCAGCUCUGAGGUCAAACCCCUCUCAUCUGAGAGAACUGGAUCUGAGAAGAAACAGGCUGCAGGACUCAGGAGUGAAGGAGCUUCUUGAUCUACAGCAGAGUCCAACCUGUCGACUGGAGACUCUGAGACUCAUCCUGUCCCCAAAACACCAGAUGACCUCAGCUUCCUGGAGACAGUGUAUGUCCUCAGAGACAGUGAGACAGUGUGUGUCCAAAGAGACAGUGAGACAGUGUGUGUCUUCUUGUCUUCCACUCGUCUUGUUAGUAAACAACAGAUUCAGAUCUCGUGGCCUCGAGUUAUUUAUCUCGUUCACACGUUAUUAUGUCGUGGUCACGUAAUAUAUUUUGACCAGAUGCCACCAGGGGGCGCUGUAACUUACACAAGCUGGACCACAGCUGACAGCCUCACACGAGGGACAGAGACGGUGUGGUCUUCAUCUGAUCUGAGACAGUUUGUCCUCUCACUUCAUCAGUGAAGAACUGAUCAGGUGGAUCUUUGUCACAGCUCUGAGAUCAGUGGGACUGAAGCCUCUCCUCAUCACAUGGUGGAGGUGAGUGUGAAGAGGACAGUGUGUGUGGACGGAGGCUGAGCUGUGUCCUGAGGAUCCAGAGGCUGAAGCAGCAGCAGCUUGUGUGUAGUCUCCAAUCUACACAACCCCUAAUCUGCAUGUGUUUGUGAGAUGAAGCCGGAGCACCUGGAGAAAACACGGGGAGAACAUGCAGACUCCACACAGGAAGACCCCAUCUGAACCGGAUUCAAACCAGCAACCUUCCUGCCCCGAUUGUGUUUAUUCACAUGAAGAAUGUGUUUAUUGAAAUGACACAACACAAGCAGAAUAUAUAAACCCUCUAUAAAGAGUCAGAUACAGUGUGUUUAAGUUUGUCUUUAUUAUUGUCCACCUUUGUCCCUCAGUGUGUCUCCAUGUGUGUAGAACCACAUUCUGUGUAUAUGUUUGUUUAUGAUCUUAAAGUUCCUGGAUUCACGUCACAAAUUGAUUUAGUUCAACACAAAGUUCAACACAAUCAAAUCACUUUGAGUUUAAAAUCAGAGUUUUGUCUUUGACACAAAAGAUCAAAACUCUGGACUUAAAAAUGGGACGUUUUCAUUUCUGCAUCAGGUGCAGAGCGGUGGUGGCUUUUCUACUUUUGACCCACAGGUGGCGCUGCAGUAUAACAGCAGCACAUCCCAGUCAAAGCCUUUAUAUUCAGUCUAUGAGUCAAACACAUGGAUCAUUUCCUCUGUGACAAACCAGAUGUAACGAGAAGAAAAACAUCUCAGAGAGAAAAGUUCUGUUUCUACUUGUCUCUGCUUUAAUGCUCAAUAAACAUCCUUCCACCGAC